RNAcentral lists this ribosomal RNA (1586 nucleotides) under marine metagenome. RNAcentral's name for it is "bacterial LSU rRNA". It matches the Rfam family "Bacterial large subunit ribosomal RNA", at positions 562 to 2178 of the family's 2925-position model. The record is from RNAcentral.
GCUUACAAUCAGAAGGAGAACGACUUUAGCGUUUGACUUCGUGCCUGUUGAAGAAUGUUCCGGCGACUUAUAGUUAGUGGCAGGUUAAGAUAGAGAUAUCGGAGCCAUAGUGAAAGCGAGCUUGAAUAGAGCGUGAGUCACUAGUUAUAGACCCGAACCCGGUUGAUCUAACCAUGGGCAGAAUGAAACUUGGGUAAUACUAAGUGGAGGUUCCAACCGACUUAUGUUGAAAAAUGAGCGGAUGACCUGUGGUUAGGGGUGAAAUGCCAAUCGAAAUCGGAGCUAGCUGGUUCUCCCCGAAAUGUAUUUAGGUGCAGCGGUUAGUGUUAUAGCAUAGGGGUAAAGCACUGUUUCGGUGCGGGCUGGUAAUUCGGUACCAAAUCGAGGCAAACUCUGAAUACUAUGUGUAUAACUAACCAGUAAGACUACGAGGGAUAAGCUUCAUAGUCAAGAGGGAAACAGCCCAGAUCGCCAGCUAAGGCCCCCAAGUAAUUGCUAAGUGGUAAAGGUGGUGGAAAGGCUUAGACAACCAGGAGGUUUGCUUAGAAGCAGCAAUCCUUUAAAAAGUGCGUAAUAGCUUACUGGUCUAGCAGUUCUGCGCCGAAAAUUUAUGGGACUAAGUAAUUCGCCGAAGCUGCGAGAUAUAUAAAUUAUAUAUCGGUAGGGGAGCGUUCCAUUGUAGGCUGAAGUAUUAGCGAAAGCGGAUAUGGACGAAAUGGAAGUGAGAAUGUCGGAUUGAGUAGCGAAAACAUUGGUGAGAAUCCAAUGCUCCGAAAACCUAAGGUUUCCUCCGCAAGGCUCGUCCACGGAGGGUGAGUCAGGUCCUAAGAUGAGGCUGAAAAGCGUAGUUGAUGGACAACAGGUUAAUAUUCCUGUACUGAUUAUUACUGGUAUCGAGGGACGAAGAAGGCUAGACUAGCCAGAUAUUGGUUACUGGUUUAAGUAUACAAGGUGUUGAAGGUUAGGGAAAAUAAUCUGAGCUGAGGUACGAAUACAAGAUUUAUUGAUCAAAGUAGUUGAUGUCAUACUUCCAAGAAAAGCUCGCAAUGCCUUAAGUAAUAAUUACCUGUACCUUAAACCGACACAGGUAGGUAGGUAGAGUAUACCAAGGAGCGCGGGAGAACCCUCCUUAAGGAACUCGGCAAAAUAACUCUGUAACUUCGGGAGAAAGAGUGCCCUUUGGGCUGCAAUAUCAAGUUCCAAGCAACUGUUUAGCAAAAACACAGGUCUCCGCUAAGUUGUAAAACGAUGUAUGGGGGCUGACGCCUGCCCAGUGCCGGAAGGUUAAAGAAGUCGGUUAGCGUAAGCAAAGCUGGUAACUGAAGCCCCGGUGAACGGCGGCCGUAACUAUAACGGUCCUAAGGUAGCGAAAUUCCUUGUCGGGUAAGUUCCGACCCGCACGAAUGGCGUAAUGAUUUGGAAGCUGUCUCGAGGAGGGACUCGGCGAAAUAGAAAUGUCUGUGAAGAUGCGGACUACCUGUGCCAGGACAGUAAGACCCUAUGAAGCUUUACUGUAUCCUGAAAUUGAGUUUUGAUUAUAUUUGCGCAGAAUAGGUGGGAGACAAUGAAAUUAUUUUUACGGAAGU